Non-coding RNA from Mycena metata, 92 nucleotides. NCBI's taxonomy places the organism in Eukaryota, Fungi, Basidiomycota, Agaricomycetes, Agaricales, Mycenaceae. The record is from the annotation of a GenBank genome assembly.
GACUCAGUGGCACAGCGGUUGGUGCGCUUGCUUUAUUUACGCAAGGGCAACUAUAUAAACGAGAGGCCCCCGUUCGAUUCGGGGCUGGGUCA